AGAGUUUGAUCAUGGCUCAGAUUGAACGCUGGCGGCAGGCUUAACACAUGCAAGUCGAACGGAACCUUCGGGUUUAGUGGCGAACGGGUGAGUAAUACCUAGGAAUCUGCCUAUUAGUGGGGGAUAACGGCUCGAAAGGGUCGCUAAUACCGCAUACGUCCUACGGGAGAAAGAGGGGGAUCUUCGGACCUCUUGCUAAUAGAUGAGCCUAGGCCGGAUUAGCUAGUUGGUAGGGUAAAGGCCUACCAAGGCGACGAUCCGUAGCUGGUCUGAGAGGAUGAUCAGCCACACUGGAACUGAGACACGGUCCAGACUCCUACGGGAGGCAGCAGUGGGGAAUAUUGGACAAUGGGGGCAACCCUGAUCCAGCCAUGCCGCGUGUGUGAAGAAGGCCUUCGGGUUGUAAAGCACUUUAAGCGAGGAGGAAGGUCUUUGAAUUAAUACUUCAAAGAAUUGACGUUACUCGCAGAAUAAGCACCGGCUAACUCUGUGCCAGCAGCCGCGGUAAUACAGAGGGUGCAAGCGUUAAUCGGAAUUACUGGGCGUAAAGCGCGCGUAGGCGGUAUGUUAAGUCGGAUGUGAAAUCCCUGGGCUCAACCUAGGCAUUGCAUCCGAUACUGGCACACUAGAGUGUGGGAGAGGAAGGUAGAAUUCCAGGUGUAGCGGUGAAAUGCGUAGAGAUCUGGAGGAAUACCGAUGGCGAAGGCAGCCUUCUGGCCUAACACUGACGCUGAGGUGCGAAAGCAUGGGGAGCAAACAGGAUUAGAUACCCUGGUAGUCCAUGCCGUAAACGAUGUCAACUAGCCGUUGGGCUCCUUGAGGGCUUAGUGGCGCAGCUAACGCGAUAAGUUGACCGCCUGGGGAGUACGGUCGCAAGACUAAAACUCAAAUGAAUUGACGGGGGCCCGCACAAGCGGUGGAGCAUGUGGUUUAAUUCGAUGCAACGCGAAGAACCUUACCUGGCCUUGACAUGUCUGGAAUCCUGCAGAGAUGCGGGAGUGCCUUCGGGAAUCAGAACACAGGUGCUGCAUGGCUGUCGUCAGCUCGUGUCGUGAGAUGUUGGGUUAAGUCCCGCAACGAGCGCAACCCUUUUCUUUACUUGCCAGCACUUCUGGUGGGAACUUUAAAGAUACUGCCGGUGACAAACCGGAGGAAGGCGGGGACGACGUCAAGUCAUCAUGGCCCUUACGGCCAGGGCUACACACGUGCUACAAUGGUCGGUACAAAGGGU
RNAcentral lists this ribosomal RNA (1231 nucleotides) under metagenome. Its description in RNAcentral is "bacterial SSU rRNA". It matches the Rfam family "Bacterial small subunit ribosomal RNA", at positions 8 to 1247 of the family's 1533-position model. The record is from RNAcentral.